This is a small nucleolar RNA of Varanus komodoensis (Komodo dragon), 81 nucleotides long. The record is from Ensembl. NCBI's taxonomy places the organism in Eukaryota, Metazoa, Chordata, Lepidosauria, Squamata, Varanidae.
UGGAAAUGAUGAUUUCUCGCUGAAAUGAUGUGAUCCGAAUCACACAUGAACACUCCUUAAGAUAGUCAAGUCCUGAUCCAG